This 467-nucleotide ribosomal RNA is filed under the name uncultured bacterium. Its description in RNAcentral is "partial 16S ribosomal RNA". It matches the Rfam family "Bacterial small subunit ribosomal RNA", at positions 28 to 506 of the family's 1533-position model. The record is from RNAcentral.
GACGAACGCUGGCGGCGUGCUUAACACAUGCAAGUCGAACGGAAAGGCCCUGCUUUUGUGGGGUGCUCGAGUGGCGAACGGGUGAGUAACACGUGAGUAACCUGCCCUUGACUUUGGGAUAACUUCAGGAAACUGGGGCUAAUACCGGAUAGGAGCUCCUGCUGCAUGGUGGGGGUUGGAAAGUUUCGGCGGUUGGGGAUGGACUCGCGGCUUAUCAGCUUGUUGGUGGGGUAGUGGCUUACCAAGGCUUUGACGGGUAGCCGGCCUGAGAGGGUGACCGGGCAAAUGGGAAUGAGGAAAGGGCCAGGAGCAGAAGGGGGGGGAAGGGGGGGAAAAAGUAACCAAGGGGCGGAAGCCUGAGGGAAAAACGCCGGGGGGGGAAGAAGGGCCUUCGGGUUGAAAACCGUUUUGGCGGGUGACGAAGGGUGAGGACGGGAAAUGGGGAAAAAAGCACCGGCAAAUAAGGG